ACCUGGAGCCCGGGGGUGGAGCUGAUAUUCCAGUUUGAGGGCUGUGCAGCUGGAGACCUGAUGAGAGCUGAUGUUCCAGUUUGCAGGCCGUGCAUCUGGAGACCUGGCAGGGAGCUGAUGUUCCAGUUUGAGGGCCGUGCAUCUGGAGACCUGGUGGAGACCUGGGGAGGAGCUGAUGUUGUUCUAAUUUGAGUGUGGUGCAGCUGGAGAUCCAGGGAUGAGAUGUUCCUGCAGUUCAAAUAUGAGGGUCCCGGAGCUGGAAUCUACAUGAGGAGCCAAUGCUGCCUCUGAUGUCUUAGGUUGUGGAGCUGGAAACUCGUGGAGGAGCUGGUAUUGGUGUUUCUAGUUGAGAGUCGUGGUAUUUCCAGGGUUUCACAAAGGCCAGAUUUUAUUUCAGUUACUUAGAAGAGAAAGAAAAUGUCUUCUGAAAGAGGUGAACUCAAUCAUUACCAAUAGAAAAAGUAUCCACUGUAUUAAUCUCUUAUUAAAACAGGAAAAUAUAACAUUUCCCCCCUUAGAAUAAUGUAUAUAUAUGUAACUUAAAGUUCUAUCAUAUGUAGCCAAACAAUAAAAUCUGGAAACCAG
Long non-coding RNA from Pongo pygmaeus (Bornean orangutan), 585 nucleotides. RefSeq lists it as uncharacterized. The transcript is spliced from 2 exons. The record is from RefSeq and is a predicted model, not a curated record. Lineage: Eukaryota; Metazoa; Chordata; Mammalia; Primates; Hominidae.